This 70-nucleotide non-coding RNA is filed under the name Nonomuraea polychroma. Lineage: Bacteria; Bacillati; Actinomycetota; Actinomycetes; Streptosporangiales; Streptosporangiaceae. The record is from RNAcentral.
AACCGCCGGAUGCGGGCCCGCAUGUCCGGUGGUGUGAGAGGGGACGGGUCAACCCCGUCCCCUACUCGAU